GUGCCUAACACAUGCAAGUCGAACGCGAGGCGCCCUUUCGGGGGCGUAGUAGAGUGGCGCACGGGUGAGUAACACGUAGACAACCUGCCUUCGAGCCCGGGAUAACCUUUCGAAAGAAGGGCUAAUACCGGAUAACACCGAGGGGCGCAUGCCUCUUGGUUGAAAGGCUUGCUACUCGAAGAGGGGUCUGCGGGACAUUAGCUAGUUGGUGGGGUAACGGCCUACCAAGGCUCUGAUGUCUAGCGGGUCUGAGAGGAUGAUCCGCCACACUGGAACUGAGACACGGUCCAG
RNAcentral lists this ribosomal RNA (291 nucleotides) under uncultured bacterium. RNAcentral's name for it is "partial 16S ribosomal RNA". It matches the Rfam family "Bacterial small subunit ribosomal RNA", at positions 44 to 334 of the family's 1533-position model. The record is from RNAcentral.